RNAcentral lists this ribosomal RNA (301 nucleotides) under Peripatopsis balfouri. RNAcentral describes it as "partial 12S ribosomal RNA". Lineage: Eukaryota; Metazoa; Onychophora; Udeonychophora; Euonychophora; Peripatopsidae. The record is from RNAcentral.
GAAACUUAAUAAUUUGACGGUAUUUAAAAUCAUAAAGGAGCUUGUAAUUUAAUCGUCAACACGCGUUUCAUCUUACUUAUAUUAAUUUGUAUACCUCCGUUAAAGACUCUAUUUAAAAUAUAAGAAAAUUUCAAAAAAACAACAUUAAAAAAUCAGGUCAAGGUGCAGUUUAUUAAGAUAUUAUGAGCUACAAUCAAAAACUAAAGACAUAGAUUUCUAAUGAAAAUAAGCAAAAAAGUGAAUUUAUAAGUAAAAUAAAAUUAAAAUAUUUAUUUGAAAUAUCUUAAAUAUGUACACAUCG